GAUGAACGCUGGCGGCGUGCCUAAUACAUGCAAGUCGAGCGAACAGACGAGGAGCUUGCUCCUCUGACGUUAGCGGCGGGCGGGUGAGUAACACGUGGAUAACCUACCUAUAAGACUGGGAUAACUUCGGGAAACCGGAGCUAAUACCGGAUAAUAUAUUGAACCGCAUGGUUCAAUAGUGAAAGACGGUUUUGCUGUCACUUAUAGAUGGAUCCGCGCCGCAUUAGCUAGUUGGUAAGGUAACGGCUUACCAAGGCGACGAUGCGUAGCCGACCUGAGAGGGUGGUCGGCCACACUGGAACUGAGACACGGUCCAGACUCCUACGGGAGGCAGCAGUAGGGAAUCUUCCGCAAUGGGCGAAAGCCUGACGGAGCAACGCCGCGUGAGUGAUGAAGGUCUUCGGAUCGUAAAACUCUGUUAUUAGGGAAGAACAAAUGUGUAAGUAACUAUGCACGUCUUGACGGUACCUAAUCAGAAAGCCACGGCUAACUACGUG
Molecule: ribosomal RNA, 497 nt
Filed under: uncultured bacterium
Lineage: Bacteria
Description: partial 16S ribosomal RNA
Rfam family: Bacterial small subunit ribosomal RNA
Source: RNAcentral